UGGACAGGGGGGUCUUCGCCCACCCGGCGAAGCCUGUCCAGCAAGGUUGUGCGUGAUGCGUGUCAGGCGCGACCAGUGGUUGUCGCUCGGGGGUGAUCGCCG
Molecule: non-coding RNA, 102 nt
Organism: Streptomyces viridochromogenes
Lineage: Bacteria; Bacillati; Actinomycetota; Actinomycetes; Kitasatosporales; Streptomycetaceae
Source: Rfam